UUGCGCUGGAAUUGAAAUUUGAUUUGGAAUUCAGAUAUAUUUGUUUCAUUCCAUUCCGUGAAAUGAACGCUACCUGUGUCAAGGGGUCGAAACUGAAACCAAAUUCAAAAAUCAAUCAUUUUAUUUCGUUGAUAAUUAUUUUGCAAGGCAUUACACUCAAGUGAAAUAAGACUUUCAAAUGCACCAACUAAUGCUUUGACCCCUUUCCUUCUUUGCUCCUUUUUGUCAUCCU
This 232-nucleotide long non-coding RNA is filed under the name Helianthus annuus (common sunflower). RNAcentral describes it as "hypothetical non coding rna". The record is from RNAcentral. Lineage: Eukaryota; Viridiplantae; Streptophyta; Magnoliopsida; Asterales; Asteraceae.